AACUUCCAAGUGAAUGUCGCUA
Molecule: unclassified non-coding RNA, 22 nt
Filed under: Dictyostelium discoideum
Lineage: Eukaryota; Evosea; Eumycetozoa; Dictyosteliales; Dictyosteliaceae
Source: RNAcentral